This 650-nucleotide ribosomal RNA is filed under the name uncultured Staphylococcus sp. Its description in RNAcentral is "bacterial SSU rRNA". It matches the Rfam family "Bacterial small subunit ribosomal RNA", at positions 9 to 648 of the family's 1533-position model. The record is from RNAcentral. Lineage: Bacteria; Bacillati; Bacillota; Bacilli; Caryophanales; Staphylococcaceae.
GAGUUUGAUCCUGGCUCAGGAUGAACGCUGGCGGCGUGCCUAAUACAUGCAAGUCGAGCGAACAGAUAAGGAGCUUGCUCCUUUGACGUUAGCGGCGGACGGGUGAGUAACACGUGGGUAACCUACCUAUAAGACUGGAAUAACUCCGGGAAACCGGGGCUAAUGCCGGAUAACAUUUAGAACCGCAUGGUUCUAAAGUGAAAGAUGGUUUUGCUAUCACUUAUAGAUGGACCCGCGCCGUAUUAGCUAGUUGGUAAGGUAACGGCUUACCAAGGCAACGAUACGUAGCCGACCUGAGAGGGUGAUCGGCCACACUGGAACUGAGACACGGUCCAGACUCCUACGGGAGGCAGCAGUAGGGAAUCUUCCGCAAUGGGCGAAAGCCUGACGGAGCAACGCCGCGUGAGUGAUGAAGGUCUUCGGAUCGUAAAACUCUGUUAUUAGGGAAGAACAAAUGUGUAAGUAACUGGCACGUCUUGCGGUACCUAAUCAGAAAGCCACGGCUAACUACGUGCCAGCAGCCGCGGUAAUACGUAAGGUGGCAAGCGGUAUCGGAAUUAUUGGGCCGUAAGCGCGCGGAGGCGGUUCUUAAGUCUGAUGGAAAGCCCACGCUUCAACCGCGGAGGGCAUUGGAACUGGAAACUUGAUGC